Molecule: small RNA, 1817 nt
Filed under: Pongo abelii (Sumatran orangutan)
Lineage: Eukaryota; Metazoa; Chordata; Mammalia; Primates; Hominidae
Description: processed transcript
Source: RNAcentral
CAGUAAGAUGUUGGCAGAAUCAUGCUCCCUCUUUAGCUUCUUGUGGGGGCCAACAAUCCUUGACAUUCCUGUCUUUCAGCCACGCCACUCCAAUCUCUGCCUCCAUUAUCACAUGGUUUUGUUUCCUGUGUGUUUAUGUCCAAAUUUCUCACUUCUUCCAAAAGCACCAGUGAUUGGCUUAUGGCCCACCCUAAUCUAGUAGGACCUUGAUUUAGCUUGAUUCCAUCCUCAAAGGCCCUAUUUCCAAAUAAGGCCACAUUCAUAGCUCUGCUGUAGAUGUUGUCAUUAUUUCUUUGGCCAUCUUUAAUGGAAUUUGGGUGGAAGGAAGGAGAGAGAGUUAAGUGUGUGCAUCAAAAUCACCAUCUUAAAGUGAAAUAAUGUUACAUCACAGUCUUCAUUAAUAUUUUACUUAUUGAUAAAUGGAAUUAAUAAUGGUCACUAGAAGAGAACAAUGGUGCCAUGGCUGUCAGCUAUUAAGGAAAUACAAACAAAAUGAUCAACGGUGUCAAAAAUCUCUGCCUUGAGUCAUCCCUGCAACAGCUCAAGGCAUAUUCUUUCCUUCCACUGAAGAGUAAUCUUCCUCCAGAGAACUUGCCUAGGUGCCUAGCUCAGAAAAUAUCUAAGAGUAUUUCUCAAAAAGUAUUUAAUGUCAGUAAAAAUGGAAAGAUAAUGUGCAGUGACAUUUUCUAAUUCUUCUUGUUGUCGGGAGAAGGGAAGUCUUGAGGCACAAGUCGAACUUAGGGAACAUCAUAGAGUCAGCAGCAUGGAAGAGGCAGAAGGCCUGGAUGUGAGGAGAGAUAAGGCGUAUUUUCUGUGCCCACCCAUGACCAGGCGCUAUAACGCUUAUUUAUCUUCACACAAGCCUGCAAGAAGUUCUAAAAUAGAUGACAACUACUUGAAGGAAUUGAAUGAGGACUUAAAGCUAAGGAAGCAGGAACUGCUAGAGAUGCUCAAACCUCUAGAAGACAAAAACAACCUCUUAUUUCAAAAGUUAAUGUCUAACUUGGAGGAAAAACAAAGGAGUCUUCAGAUCAUGAGGCAGAUCAUGGCAGGGAAGGGGUGUGAGGAAUCCUCGGUCAUGGAGCUCCUUAAGGAAGCAGAGGAGAUGAAACAGAACUUGGAAAGGAAAAACAAGAUGCUUCGGAAGGAAAUGGAGAUGCUGUGGAACAAGAGGCUCUUUCUCCCACCAGGAAAAGCAACAGAGGAAAAUGGAAUGGGUCAAGUAUCAGGAACAAAACAACAUCCUUCAGAAUGAUUUUCAUGGCAAAGUGAUUGAGCUGAGAAUUGAAGCCUUGAAGAACUACCAGAAGGCCAAUGACCUGAAAUUAUCACUGUAUUUGCAGCAGAAUUUUGAGCCAAUGCAAGCAUUUUUAAAUAUUCCUGGGUCCCAAGCAUUUCCUUGAGCUCUUCUGAGAAAAACCUGAACGUUGGAUGUACUAUGGGCAUUACAACUAUGGACAGAGUGACUACUGGCAGAAAUGAACACCAUGUGAGAAUUCUGAGAGCAAAGAUCUACAAAGAACAACAAGGAACUAAAGGAAGUCAGCUUGAUGAUACAGGAGGGAGGCUCUUUUUUCUGAGGUCACUGCCAGAUGAAGCACUGAAGAAUUAGCAGGCUUUCGCUCCAUUUGCUUUGGACAGAUUUAAAGACUAGGCACAGCCAUUUGUGUUAAUUAAAAUCUCUCAAACCUUUGUUUUAGUGCUGUUUUCCCUCUCUCCCCCCACCAAACUGGGUGGAAAUGUUGGAUGUUUGGCCUUAAACAUGUAUGGAAUGUAGUCAUUUAGGAAUUGUAAACAACCUCUGAUUAUUUUGAUAG